AGAGUUUGAUCAUGGCUCAGAAUCAACGCUGGCGGCGUGCCUAACACAUGCAAGUCGAACGAGAAAGUGGAGCAAUCCAUGAGUAAAGUGGCGCACGGGUGAGUAACACGUGACUAACCUACCCUGGAGUGGGGGAUAACUGAGGGAAACCUUAGCUAAUACCGCAUAAUACCUACGGGUCAAAGGAGCAAUUCGCUUCAGGAGGGGGUCGCGGCCGAUUAGUUAGUUGGCGGGGUAAUGGCCCACCAAGACGAUGAUCGGUAUCCGGCCUGAGAGGGCGCACGGACACACUGGAACUGAAACACGGUCCAGACUCCUACGGGAGGCAGCAGUGGGGAAUUUUGCGCAAUGGGGGAAACCCUGACGCAGCAACGCCGCGUGGAGGAUGAAGUACUUCGGUACGUAAACUCCUUUCGAUCGGGACGAUUAUGACGGUACCGAGAGAAGAAGCCCCGGCUAACUUCGUGCCAGCAGCCGCGGUAAUAC
RNAcentral lists this ribosomal RNA (486 nucleotides) under uncultured bacterium. RNAcentral describes it as "bacterial SSU rRNA". It matches the Rfam family "Bacterial small subunit ribosomal RNA", at positions 8 to 526 of the family's 1533-position model. The record is from RNAcentral.